Molecule: long non-coding RNA, 2880 nt
Organism: Mesocricetus auratus (golden hamster)
Lineage: Eukaryota; Metazoa; Chordata; Mammalia; Rodentia; Cricetidae
Exons: 2
Source: RefSeq, a predicted model, not a curated record
UUACCUUUCCACUGGUAUAAGACAUACUUCCAAGGUUGGAGCCUUAUGACGGGCAUAGUGGAAGGAACAUGGACUUUCAAAAUUCAAAACAAAACCCUCACGGCCACCAGAUGUUGACCUGAUUCUUCUAUCCCUCAUUUACUCUGUAAAAUGCUGUGUAUUGAGAGUUGGGUACAAGUUAAUCCAUGGGAAGCCACUGAAGAGCCUGUUGGGGAAGAUACCAAAGAAGACAUUUAAUCCCAGUGUGAGUUUCACCCACACAUAGCAUGAAGAGCAAUGAAACUACUUAUCUUUUACUUGGCCCAUGCUUCCUUCAAAGGGUCCCACAGGUGAGGAUGCCAUGCUCCUUUAAGAAUUCCUGGCCAGGUUUUUCUUUUCACCUUUGGAUUGAGGGAAGGAGGAACUGGGGAAAAGACAGGCGGAGGAAAGAAAAGGACUGGGUUACUUGAAAAUCCAUGACCUUAUAAAAGCUGAAACAUGGUCUGGAGACAGCUGAGUAACAGGUGCUCUAAAUGGAGACCCAAGCAUCCAAUGGACUAACAAUGACUAUGUUAAAUGUCAUUGUCAGUGGAUGUUAAGGUUGCAGAUGGCACUAAAAUUGCCAACCACCCAACAUUGACAUGUGGAUACUAUUCGAGAUUGUGGCAGUGGGUCCUCUCAGUCAAAGAGGUUCUUAAAAAUAGGAGGAGGGUGGAAAGAUCAUCAUAGUGGGAUAUGUUCAGAAUAGCUUGGUUUAAUAAUACUGCAGACCUUAUCACUGAUAAUUGCUCAAUCACUAGGCUGGCUUAGAAAGGGAAGGAGUAAAUAGAAAUGUAACAAUGAGUCAGGCUGAUGCAAAAGGAACCCCUCAGGUGCGUAGUGGGGACCAUGUGUCCUGCCUUCCUGCUUAGCUGCUGAUUGAGUCUUCCUUCGUCUGAUGUUACUCUCUUACUUUGGAAAUAUCUUCUAAAUCCUUGAAACUUUUGAAUUAGGAGGGGUCAUGCCACCCUCCAGCUCCCCUCAAGUGCAGUUCCAGGAUCCAAACCUCAUGCCAACCAUUGCACCUCUUUGAUCCAGCAAUUAGCUCGAGUUUAACCAUUUGACACAAAGCGAUUUGUUAUUGGACAAGAUUUGGGAAGUUUCGGCAAUAGAUUUUCUUCUUUCUUAAAGGGAUGAUUGGGAAUUUAGAACUAAUGUAGAUCUAUAGCAACCAUUUUAUCAAGACAAAAAGAAAGUCUAAAUGAAAGUGGAGAUAAUGAUGCCACAGGGUGAAGCCUAACAGCAGAGAGUUUGAUAUUUUUAGCAAAGUAGAGCCUAGUAUUGGAGUGCAGUAUCCUGAGCAAGGCAGAACCCAAAAGCAGAAGACAGGGUGGGAUCCUCAGUUAAAUUAUUGAAGCCUCUGCAUGUUACUCACCCAAAUGCUCAGCACUUUGAACACACAAGUUAAAUGAGUCAAUACACUUUUGUUUCAUUUAAAUGCAUUUGAACUAUAUCCCUGCUGUGUGAAAGUCCCACAGUUCCUGACAAGGAAGGAGUGAGUGAUCACAGUUUCUCAGGUCCAUAAACAUAAAGCAAGGACUUUAGAAAUGCCAGACACAAAGGCACCAAUACAACUGAGCCCAUUGCAACUGAUGUAUAAAGUGGAAGGUAAUUUAAUAGACCCUUUCAGAUAUCUGAAGUAGCAGCAUCAUCCACCUAGAGUGCCUGCUUCCCAGAAUUAGAUGGCUGAAGAACCAAAUCAGCAAAUAAAAGGAUGCUAGAAGACUGACAGAAUAAAAGAUGGUGGCCCACUGGACUCAUUUCAUCUGCAUCAAGAUGAAGUCAUGUGACCCAUAUGCUGCCCAAGAGAAAGAUAAAUUUGAACCUACUCAAUUGAGAACAUUUCUCCAGACUGUAUUACAUAAUCUACAGGUUUCCUCUCUCUGCUUCAGAUCAUUGAUUUAUCUUCACAGCAACGAACCAAUUGUUUUGAUUCUUUCCUUUCCCCAAACAUCCAGUCAAAUUGUUUCCUGAAUUGAAGUCUCAUUCUCUUACUGCUUUCAGUCUGUCCUGAUCAUCAGGUUUGACAUUACACCCAUUUUAACACUGUCCAGGUGAUACAUAUGUAAGAGCUUUCCAUGUCUGCACUUCCAGGUAGCCAGACUCACUGGCCGGGGCUGUUCUGGGUUAGAUGAUCUCACAGAGACAAGUACAGCCCUGAGAGGAAGGCUAACAAGGAUUUACAUUGCUGUGCUUCCUGGCUGUCAACUUUCUAAGUAUCCAAGACCUUAAUUCUAACAUGUAGGUAAAAUGUGUGUGUGUGUGGGGGGAUAUCUCCCAAAGUAGGGGAAAUAGAAUAUGUAGUUGUGGAGAAACAGUGGGAGACUGGAGUGAGGAUUAAAUGGGGAGCGAAGAGGUGAGUGAGGGAGGAGAUGUGGACGAGAGCUUCUCUCCCGAACUAGGAAGCUAUCUCCAACUGGCAACUGUGUGCAAAGGAGUCUCAGUGGGUAUACAAACCACACUCAAGAAGAGGCCUCCCCCACCCAGCAGUACAUGGCCAGUACAAAAUGGAGCCAUGGUAUUUUUGUGGGUUGUUAUAACAUACUGUUUUGUCUGGGCAGUUUUUAUUUUAUUGGUCUUCUGCAUGUAUAUGUUUUCUGAUAUUUUUAUGAGUUUGCUGUAUAUUAGUGAAUGUGUGUGUGUGUGUGUGUGUGUGUGUGUGUGUUUCUUGUGCCUUUUCUUUUUUCCCUUGUUUUUUUUCUAAGAAGAGAGGAAGAAGGCCUGGAAUUAAAUGGGCAGGGAGAAUCUGGAGGAGCUGUAGAGGAUAGACCAUAAUCUUAAUAUAUUGCAUGAAAAAUUAUUUUCAAUUGAAAAAGCAGAAAUGUUAUAGCAUAACAAGUAAUAAAUCUUAUAUGUAUAUAA